GUGUCAGCAGCCGCGGUAAUACGUAGGCAGCAAGCGUUGUUCGGAAUUACUGGGCGUAAAGAGUGUGUAGGCGGUGCUCUAAGUUUGGUGUGAAAUCUCCCGGCUCAACCGGGAGGCUGCAUCGAAUACUGGAAUGCUAGAGGGUGGGAGAGGUAAGCGGAAUUCCUGGUGUAGCGGUGAAAUGCGUAGAUAUCAGGAGGAACACCUGUGGUGUAGACAGCUUACUGGACCACUUCUGACGCUGAGACACGAAAGCGUGGGUAGCAAACAGGAUUAGAAACCCCCGUAGUCC
RNAcentral lists this ribosomal RNA (292 nucleotides) under uncultured bacterium. Its description in RNAcentral is "partial 16S ribosomal RNA". It matches the Rfam family "Bacterial small subunit ribosomal RNA", at positions 505 to 796 of the family's 1533-position model. The record is from RNAcentral.